Molecule: non-coding RNA, 238 nt
Organism: Pelobates cultripes (western spadefoot toad)
Lineage: Eukaryota; Metazoa; Chordata; Amphibia; Anura; Pelobatidae
Source: the annotation of a GenBank genome assembly
GAGCUGGACCUUUGGCGGCUAGAUGCACCGUUCCCUCCCACUACCGUUGAGGAAUAUCCCAGCUCCCACAACGACAGACACCCCUGAGCCAAAUACCUAUGCUGGUUCCUGCUCAUUGCAGCAGUGAGAGCACAUCUAAGAUGGCUGACUCAAUGGGUACGCUAGCAGGCACUACGGAACAACGUCCACGGGCUCAUCUUAACCCAGUGGACCGAUUCUUGCUGCGACUUGAUGAAGC